AACAUUUGUUUUUCAUUACAAAUUUUAUUUAUUUCCUUUUGUAGUUGUUACUUUAUCAUAUGGUACAAAAAUCAUUCAAAACAAUCAAUUCGUGUUGGCCCCAGAUGACUUUCAAAAUGUAUACAUCAUUGAAAAAGUUCCAAAUUAUCUCCCUUUGGUGGAAAAAUGCCAUUUUUUGGCUCUAAAAUUGAAAUAUCUUUUUCAACUCAUCGGUGACCUAUCUUUUUUAAUAUAAUUUCCAUAUAAGCUGUACUUAAACUAAAUUUUUGUAAAAUUUUAGCGAUUUCUGUAAUAAAUUUCUUUUUUUUAUUUCGAUAUUACCUUUAUUUCUCCUAUUCCUUCAACAGAAAAAAAACACCUUUACAAAAAUGUAUGCUUCUUUCGAAGGCAGAUUGUGAGCGCAAAUGAACGGUGACCCC
This 419-nucleotide long non-coding RNA is filed under the name Mytilus galloprovincialis (Mediterranean mussel). Lineage: Eukaryota; Metazoa; Mollusca; Bivalvia; Mytilida; Mytilidae. The record is from RNAcentral.